This 299-nucleotide ribosomal RNA is filed under the name uncultured bacterium. RNAcentral describes it as "partial 16S ribosomal RNA". It matches the Rfam family "Bacterial small subunit ribosomal RNA", at positions 933 to 1215 of the family's 1533-position model. The record is from RNAcentral.
UGGAGCGUGUGGUUUAAUUCGAUGCUACGCGAGGAACCUUACCAAGGCUUGACAUGCUAGAUGUAGUUUGGUGGAAACAUUGAGCGAUCCGUAUCCAAUCGGAAGCUAGCACAGGUGCUGCAUGGCUGUCGUCAGCUCGUGCCGUGAGGUGUUCCCUUAAGUGGGACAACGAGCGCAACCCUCGUUCUUAGUUGCUAACUUUGGUGAAUAACUGAGGUGCACUCUAAGGAGACUGCCUACGUUAAGUAGGAGGAAGGCGGGGAUGACGUCAAGUCAGCAUGGCCUUUAUAUCUUGGGCA